UACGGAGGGUGCGAGCGUUGUCCGGAAUCACUGGGCGUAAAGGGUGCGUAGGUGGCUCGUUAAGUGGCUGGUGAAAUCCCGGGGCUCAACUCCGGGGCUGCCGGUCAGACUGGCGGGCUCGAGCACGGUAGAGGCAGAUGGAAUUCCCGGUGUAGCGGUGGAAUGCGUAGAUAUCGGGAAGAAUACCGGUGGCGAAGGCGUUCUGCUGGACCGUUGCUGACACUGAGGCACGACAGCGUGGGGAGCAAACGGG
Molecule: ribosomal RNA, 253 nt
Filed under: uncultured bacterium
Lineage: Bacteria
Description: partial 16S ribosomal RNA
Rfam family: Bacterial small subunit ribosomal RNA
Source: RNAcentral